This 407-nucleotide ribosomal RNA is filed under the name uncultured bacterium. RNAcentral describes it as "bacterial SSU rRNA". It matches the Rfam family "Bacterial small subunit ribosomal RNA", at positions 28 to 460 of the family's 1533-position model. The record is from RNAcentral.
GAUAAACGCUGGCGGCGUGCCUAACACAUGCAAGUCGAACGAUCCCGCAAGGGAGAGUGGCGGAAGGGUGAGUAACACGUGGGAAUCUACCUCCUCGCAGGGAACAACCUCUCGAAAGAGAGGCUAAUACCCAAAAGGGUCAGAAAUGAUCAGAGUCGAAAGGCGUGAGGAGAGGAGCCCGCGGCCCAUCAGCUAGUUGGUGAGGUAAUGGCUUACCAAGGCUACGACGGGUAGGGGAUCUGAGAGGAUGUCCCCCACACUGGAACUGAAACACGGUCCAGACGCCUACGGGUGGCAGCAGUGAGGAAUAUUGGACAAUGGGCGAAAGCCCGAUCCAGCAACGCCGCGUGGAGGGUGAAGGCCUUCGGUCGGUAAACUUACUUUAGUAGGGAGGACGAGAAAGGAAC